This 270-nucleotide long non-coding RNA is filed under the name Elaeis guineensis (African oil palm). Its description in RNAcentral is "long non-coding RNA (EGUI_LNC054920)". Lineage: Eukaryota; Viridiplantae; Streptophyta; Magnoliopsida; Arecales; Arecaceae. The record is from RNAcentral.
GUGGCAUGGAGGAAUUCUUUCCCAUCUAAAAUACUUUCAAGAUAAGAAAAUAAAUCAAAUAAAUUAGAUCUAAUCUAAUUAGAUCAAUGGGAAUAGGUUAAGACUAACUCAAAUUUAUUUGAACUAACCUAAUUGAAAACUUGAGUUAAUAUAAUGUGCUAGCAUAUCAAAUUAACCCUUAAAAUUUAUAUUAAAUCCUAAUUAAAUUAGAUCAAGAUCAAAUCCCAAAGCGUAUGACUCAUUAGGCUCGAAAUCUAGCUAGCAGUGGAC